CCCUUCGGGGUGUAGGCGAGUGGCGCACGGGUGAGUAACGCGUAGGUCAUCUGCCCUUAGGUCAGGGNAUAGCCUUCGAAAGUUGGAUUAAUACCGUGAUAUAUGGCGACNNUCAAGGAUUUAUUCGNCUAAGGAUGAGCCUGCGUAAGAUUAGCUUGUNGGUGAGGUAACGGCUCACCAAGGCGACGAUCUAUAGCCGAGUUGAGAGGCUGAUCGGCCACAUUGGAACUGAGACACGGUCCAGACUCCUACGGGAGGCAGCAGCUAAGAAUUCUUUCCGCAAUGGGCCCAAGCCUGACGGAGCGACGCCGCGUGAACGAUGAAGGCCUUUCGGGUUGUAAAGUUCUUUUAUAAGAGACGAAUGUCUGGUGUAGGCCAGACUGACUGUAUCUUUUGAAUAAGGUCCGGCUAACUACGUGCCAGCAGCCGCGGUAAUACGUAGGGACCAAGCGUUGUUCGGAAUUAUUGGGCGUACAGGGUACGUAGGCGGCAUGAUAAGUCAGAUGUGAAACCCUCGGGCUCAACCUGAGGCCUGCGUCUGAUACUGUAGUGCUAGAGUUACUGAAGAGGAAGACGGAAUCCCUGGUGUAGGGGUGAAAUCUAUAGAUAUCAGGAAGAACACCUAUAGCGAAGGCAUACUUCUGGCAGCUAACUGACGCUGAUGUACGAAAG
This 672-nucleotide ribosomal RNA is filed under the name uncultured organism. Its description in RNAcentral is "bacterial SSU rRNA". It matches the Rfam family "Bacterial small subunit ribosomal RNA", at positions 76 to 759 of the family's 1533-position model. The record is from RNAcentral.